AUUGAACGCUGGCGGUAGGCCUAACACAUGCAAGUCGAACGGCAGCAGAGUAAGAGCUUGCUCUGACUGGUGGCGAGUUGCGUACUGGUUAGGAAUGUAUCGGGACCUGCUUUUUCGUUGGUCGUAAGGUUGGGUAAUUUACGAUACUACCUCUUACGGACUGCGGGUGACAGUAGGGGAUCUUCGGAUCUUGCGCGAUUGUAUCAGCUGAUGUCGGAUUAGCUAGUUGGUGGGGUAAAGGCACACCAAGGCGACGAUCUGUAGCUGGUCUGAGAGGACGACCAGCCACACUGGAACUGAGACACGGCCCAGACUCCUACGGGAGGCAGCAGUGGGGAAUAUUGGACAAUGGGCGCAAGCCUGAUCCAGCAAUGCUGCGUGGGGGAAGAAGGCCUUCGGGUUGUAAAGUGCUUUUGUAGGGAAAGAAAAGGAGCAGGUUAAUACCCGGCGGUAAUGACGGUACCGUAAGAAUAAGCACCGGCUAACUACGUG
RNAcentral lists this ribosomal RNA (492 nucleotides) under uncultured bacterium. Its description in RNAcentral is "partial 16S ribosomal RNA". It matches the Rfam family "Bacterial small subunit ribosomal RNA", at positions 30 to 507 of the family's 1533-position model. The record is from RNAcentral.